GAUCUUGGUGGUAGUAGC
RNAcentral lists this small nuclear RNA (18 nucleotides) under Arabidopsis thaliana (thale cress). RNAcentral describes it as "snRNA_12305". Lineage: Eukaryota; Viridiplantae; Streptophyta; Magnoliopsida; Brassicales; Brassicaceae. The record is from RNAcentral.